GCGGUUGUAGCUCAGUUGGUAGAGCACGCGACUUUUAAUCGUGAGGUCGAGAGUUCAAGUCUCUCCAACCGCACCA
This 76-nucleotide transfer RNA is filed under the name Caudoviricetes sp. RNAcentral's name for it is "tRNA-Lys". It matches the Rfam family "tRNA". Rfam says of the family: Transfer RNA (tRNA) molecules are approximately 80 nucleotides in length. Lineage: Duplodnaviria; Heunggongvirae; Uroviricota; Caudoviricetes. The record is from RNAcentral.